Molecule: long non-coding RNA, 1197 nt
Filed under: Fukomys damarensis (Damara mole-rat)
Lineage: Eukaryota; Metazoa; Chordata; Mammalia; Rodentia; Bathyergidae
Description: lncRNA (ENSFDAG00000028825.1)
Source: RNAcentral
GUUGGGUGCCCACAGCGUACAGGUGCACAUCAAGUCCUAAGGAUUUUCCCUUGUUCUUGCAGCAGAAGAAGGUGUCAAGGAAGUACUUAGUGAACUGGAGGAGGCUCAAAAGCAGGUUGGAGAAGCUGAGCUGUGACAGGAAGAUUAUCACUGCCGGUGAAACCAAACUCAGUGAAAUGAUCGCUUUUGUGCUCCGGCAAAGCUCCUCAAGAAACAGUCCUCCUUCUCCUGUUUCUGAGGCUGUGUGCUGGCGUCCUGUGACACGGUGGAAAAACACGCAUGGAUAGUUGCCUUGGUAUCAUCUGGCCACUUCUUAUUAUGACUCCAGCUCUGAAUGGAGAGAUUCCAGAAAUUGGCAGAGGGGUCUAGAGAAAACACUUACACAUGUGAAGUGACAGGAAAAAGUCUUUCUACAAUUUAUAUACAAGGCAUUAAAUAGAGAAAACAUUUAAAACCAGGGUUCAAACUCAUUCUGACCCUACUACUGUGAGCUGGAGCAAUUCGGGUUUAAUCUACAGCUCCAUCUGAAAGACCUUCUGUUUGACUCUGGAUUGCACUGGGUAUCACAAUUAAACAUCCUUAAGUUCACUGCCACUUGGCGAACUUUCCCGAUUUCCACUUUUCCUUUCUGUUCCAUCCCUCUUGGAGACGCCCCAGGGAGAAUCAAAGAGCAUCUAAAUUGUCCAUGAACUAGUAGAUCAAGAGAACACUUUUUAAAUUAAAGGCAUCAUUGAUAGUCUUUCUUUUCAUAUCCUUGACUGGAAUGAACUAUGGCCUAAACAAGGGAGGAUAGGACAAAAUAGAGUUAAAAAGAACAUCAUACUUAUUUUUAUUGUAUUUUUUAUAAUCAUAAUGAUAGAAUUUAACACCAAUACAUAUGUAAUAUUAUUCCCAAACAAAUGACUAUGGAUUAAAUCAAGCAUGUAAUUUAGAGAAAUCAUAAGCCUGCCAGAGAAACUAUCAAUAUGCUAAAUGUGCAAAAUCCUACCACAUUUACGACCACAUUUCUCAUUUAAUAGUGCACACAUAUGUGUAAAAACAUACUCCCCGCACAUGUACACAAUGCAUACUUUCUACAAUACAAUAUAUACUUUGGUAUAAUAAAACAGUGCAGUGAUGUGUGGAAUGUUUGUGAUUUGUUUGAUUUGAGAAAAAACAAAUAUCUUUGAGGGAGUUGGAGAAUUUGUAAUAUGUACC